AACAAACAUGAUGAAUAUGGAUAGACUAACCAAAGAGAAUCACUAUGGUAUUUCCAUUUCUGCGUAUGUCGAUUUCAAGUGGGUCCCUUUCAAAAACCAUCUAUUGACUAGUUUUAUUUGGAACCCAAAACGUCCUAUAAGAACAGCUGAUCAAGGGUGUUUACGAACCAGCGGCUUGCUAAAGUGGAUGUACCCCAACCAAAAGAAGGGGUAUCAAAGUGCCAAAUUUCUUCUGAUACUAUAGAACAGUAGAUACAGGGGUACCAAGAUGAGUGCGCCACUUUACUUACGGCGGCCAGGAUCUGUCCGUUCUUGCUGAUCUGCGCCUCCAGCUGCUUCUUGGCGUUGAUCAGCCGCUCCAGUCGCUCCUUGGUGGUGGC
This is a long non-coding RNA of Drosophila subpulchrella, 380 nucleotides long. RefSeq lists it as uncharacterized. Lineage: Eukaryota; Metazoa; Arthropoda; Insecta; Diptera; Drosophilidae. The record is from RefSeq and is a predicted model, not a curated record. The transcript is spliced from 3 exons.